GGGAAGACACCUGGACCAGCCCAGGAAGGAAUCAACAUGUUUUCAGUGUUUAGGUUUGGCUGAAUGCAGGCCCAGGUGCAUGGUUUCCAUAGGAAGCUAGUAUUGGACAAUGAGGUUCAACAUUUUGUCAGGGCAAGCUUAUAAGGAGUUCUCAAUGCCAACAUGGUCAAAAAGGCAAGUUACCACCUGACAGCUAUUCUUCUUUUCUUCACUAUUAAAAAAAAACAACAACAACAAAAACAAACAAAAAAAACCUGAUUUAAUUGAGACAAUAAUAGCUCCUGUAUUUUCAGCUCUCUCUAAGCUCUGUGUAACUAAGCUAUCUGUAACCCUCAGCUACAUGUAAAACUUGUCCAAACUGAUGGAGUGUUCUUUGGAAUAUCCAAGAAGGCCUUGGGAGCUGCUUCAGCUGGGUUGAACAGUUUUUCUGUCUGCUUUUCCUCCUUUGUGUUGAUGAUGGCUGUAUCAAUAGCCAUAUUGAGCCAUGAGGUGGCCUUAACACUAGAAGCUGAGGCUGGAAGUUAUAUUAAGAAUUAGAUAGAACAAAGAGUAUAGGCCCCAGAUAAAUAGGGGGAACUGCCACACUGGUCAUGACAUACCUUCCGCUGGAUUAAUCUUCUUUUUUUCACAUGAGAAAUAAAUAAAUUCCAUUUUGCUUUAGUCACUAUUAACCUGCCUUUUCCUUUCCCUAAUCUCAGUCAAUAUAGACAGAUUAAUGAGUAGGGUGAUCAGACUAUUCCUUAUAAUUCCCACCUCCUAGUGUUCAUGACCUUAUACAGUUGCCUUCCCUUGAGUGUGGGCAAAGCCUGUCACUUGCUUCUAACUAGUAGAAAAUGGAAAGGUGAACGGAUGUCAUUCCUGUUUAUAUUGUAUUUCUAAGACUGUAAUAUUAUUAGCAUAUUCCCUCUAGAGUCUGUUUCCCUAGCUAACUGUGAAGAAGCAGUCAUGCUGGAAGGGCCACCUGGAAAGAAGCUGAGGGUAGGCACUAGGAUAUGAAAGUGAGCACCACCCAACAGCCAGCAACAACCCCGAGUCCUCAGUCCUACAACCAAAAGGAAAUGAAUUCUGCUAACAAUCUGAGUAAGCUUGGAAGGGAAAUCUCCCCUCAUCAGCCUCCAAAUAUUGGCACAACCCAACUUGUACUUUGAUUGAAGCUUUUUGAGAGCCCAAGCAGAGAAUCCAGUUAAGUUGUCCCCAGACUUUGGACUUGAAGACACCAUGAGAUAAUAAAUCUGUUGUUUGAAACCCCUAAGUAUGUGGUCAUUUUUUACGUAGCAGUAGAUUGCUAAUACAAGGAAUCUAGACUUAAUCUAUAGUUCUCAAAGUUCUUCAUGACUACAGUUCCCCUAAACCUACAAAUUUGUCAUUCUAUUAUCCUACAGAAUGUGUGUAUUUGAAGUCCUCAGUUACCUUGGCUGUACCUAUAGUGUGAAAAAUAAAAGAAAUUUCCAAGAAGUCCAUGAAAUGCUUUUGCAUUCUUCUUCAUGCUUUCAUUUACACCUUCAUCAAAUGCAGGCAGGAAAGGGUUAGGGCCCACUCAGGCUUCUUGAGAAUGAUAGCUGAGUGAAACCCUCUUUUUAUUUGCACAAUCUGUGGCAUGACUGCAUUACUGGACAAAAAGUGGAUGUUUUGAAUUAAUGGACUAUCUGUACUUAAAAAUAAAGAAGUAGAAAAAUCACAGAUUCAUAUCUCCCCAAAGAUAUGACGAACAUAAAGUAAACACUGAGAUUCUCAGACAAAAAGGUGCCCCAGAACAGCGAAACAUUGUUAUUAAUUAACAUAGUUGUAAAAUUUCAGGUUCCAAGGAGAGAAAAAUCUUGGAAGCAAUUAUGAAAGUCAUUGUAGACUAAAGUCAUUUAGAUUAAAGAAAUAUUUCUUUAAGAAAAAUAAAACAUUAAUUAUAUCCUUUGAUUUUCCAAAUAUGAAUAAUCCAACUUGCUAGCUCUCAUCUAUCACUUACUGGUCUUGAAAAAAUUGCAGAUGACUAUUAAAUAUAGAUAUUGUCUAACAAUAUCACCCCAAUUGGAAUGCAUUAUAUUACAUAAACAGUUGCUCUCUCUGUCAUAAUAACCACAUAACAUUAAUGUCAUGGAAAUAGGUGAGGCAAAGAGAUGCAUUCAGUUCCUUUUCAGUUAAUAAACAUAAAUUCUAGAUAAUUAAGCAUCUUGGGAGACAAAAUUAUCCAACAAAUUAUGUUUUUUGAGGGGGGGCAUGGGCAUAAAUAAUGAGGGUUAUACAUCUAAUUUUUUAAAGAACAAGUUCCAAGUAUAUCAGUUACCCCCAUUGGGUUCCAAAUGAAGACAAAAUUUGUGACCUAGUUGUCAAUGUAAUACUUACAGCUAAAAUAAACCUUUUGACGUAAGGCUUAAUAUUUGACUUUAAAAUAUUUUUGCAACCAGAGGAGUUCCCCUUGUGACUCAGCGGUUAACGAACCUGACUAGGAUCCAUGAGGAUGUGGGUUUGUUUGAUCCCUGGUCUCACUCAGUGGGUUAAGGAUCUGGCAUUGCCAUGAGCUGUGCUAUAGGUCACAGAUGUGCCUUGGAUCGCAUGUUGCUGUGGCUGUUGCUUAGGCCAGCAGCUACAGCUCCAGUUCAACCCCAGCCUGAGAACCUCCAUAUGCCAUGGGUGUGGCCCUAGAAUAGCAAAAAAUAAAAUAAUAAAAUAAAAUAAUUUUUGUGACUAGAACUUUUAACAGCUACAAGCUUUCCUCAAACACAUCACAUGGCAGCCUUUGCCUCUUCCUCCAUCCUUUCACUCCACUAAAAGCAACAAAUAAGUAGAAAAAUUGGUAUGUUAAUCCUUAAAUAUUCCAUGUGUGAUUCUUUGGAAAUAAACUAUUUGAAUGUAGAAAUACUUUUGCCAGCAAUCAUACAUCUUAAUUCUGUGAUUAAUAGAAAAUUCCUCCAUAUUCUGGAACUAGGUUAACCAUCAAUCUUAGUUGUCAGUUAUGGUAUGAGUUGUUAAUGUUUUGCAUCUUUGAAGGACAUUGUUUGCCUCAUACCAACAUGCCACUGAGAGAGAAAAUUAAUAUUGCAAAAACUAAAUUUUCACAUGCUUCUGAAUUUCUAUCAAAUGAGAAUCCCAUAUAUUUUGUGACAGAUUACUAUUAUUUUUGAAUUUGAGUAUGUGAUCACUUUGGGGUAUGAUUGUUUAUUUUAAGUAAUUGUCUGUAUUAAUGACAGUAGUUAAUUUUUAAAUCUUAACUGAUUACAGGUUUUUUAAAAAAGAUCAUGCUAACUCUUCCAGAAGACGUAGAAUGGUUCAUAAGUUCUAAAGUG
This 3278-nucleotide long non-coding RNA is filed under the name Sus scrofa (pig). RNAcentral's name for it is "lncRNA (ENSSSCG00000054420.1)". The record is from RNAcentral. Lineage: Eukaryota; Metazoa; Chordata; Mammalia; Artiodactyla; Suidae.